Molecule: long non-coding RNA, 1435 nt
Filed under: Salmo trutta (river trout)
Lineage: Eukaryota; Metazoa; Chordata; Actinopteri; Salmoniformes; Salmonidae
Description: lncRNA (ENSSTUG00000050012.1)
Source: RNAcentral
AUUUUGAUAUGUCAAGACAAACAUACUCCAUGUUGGAAAUGACAAGACCUCUUUACUUGUGUAAAGUAAUAUUAAUGACCAAACACAACCAGUGGGAGGGACUGGCGGAACAGUGGUGACAUCAACCAAGACAUACACUUUACAAAAUCAAGCGUCUGUCACGCCCUGACCGUAGAGAGCCUUUUUAUUUCUCUAUUUGGUUAGGUCAGGGUGUGAUUUGGGUGGGCAUUCUAGAUUAUAUAUUUCUAUGUUUUGUAUUUCUACAUGGGAGGAGAUCCUGGACGGCAAGGGGCCCUGGACGCAGAUUGGGGAGUAUUGCCGUCCAAGGGAGGAGAUAGAGGCAGCAAAAGAGGAACGGCAACGCUACGAGGAAUUGACACGGCAACAACAGAAGCCCGAGAGGCAGCUCCAAAAAAUGUUUUUGGGGGGGCACACGGGGAGAUUGGCAGAGUCAGGGUUUAGACCUGAGCCAACUCCCUGUGCUUACCGUGGGGAGCGUGUAACCAGUCAGGCACCGGGUUAUGCGGUGAUGCGCACUGUAUCUCCAGUGCGCAUUCAUAGCCCGGUGCGCUCUGUGCCUGCGCUCCGCAUUUGCCAUGCUAGAGUGAGCAUUCAGCCAGGACGGAUUGUGCCGGCUCAGCACUCCUUGUCUCCGGUGCGUCUCUUUGGCCCAGGAUAUUCUGCACCAGCUCUACGCACGGUAUCCCCAGUUCGCCAGCACAACCCAGUGCGGCCUGUGCCAGCUCCCUGCACUUGCCGUGAGACAGGGGGUAUUCAGCCAGGACUCGUUGUGCCAGCUCUACGCUCCAGACCUCCAGUCCGCCUCCACGGCCCAGGGUAUCCUGCGCCGGCUCUAUGCACUAUGUCUCCAGUGCGCCUUCACAACCCAGUGCGUCCUGUGCCAGCUCUCCACACUUACAGAGCUAAAGUGGGUAUCCAAACAGGACGUGUUGUGCCUGCUCCAUGCAGCCAGCCUCCAGUGAUGAUCCAUGGCACGAAGCCUCCAGUGAUGAUCCAUGGCACGAAGCCUCCAGUGAUGAUCCAUGGCACGAAGUCUCCAGUGAUGAUCCAUGGCACGAAGCCUCCAGUGAGGAUCCAUGGCCCGGAGCCUCCAGUGAUGAUCCAUGGCCCGGAGCCUCCAGUGAUAAUCCAUGGCCCGGUCCGGAGCCUCCGGCAACGAUCCAAGGUCCGGUCCCUCCGGCGAUGAUCCACGGUCCCUCCGGCGACGAUCCACGGUCCGGAGCUUCUGGUUACAAUCCACGGUCCGGGUCCUCCGGCGACGAUCCACGGUCCGGAGCUUUCGGCGACGACCCAUGAAAGAGUCGCCACCAGGGAUGGCGGAUCCGCAAGCAGAGCGGGGUCUACGUCCCGCACCGGAGCCGCCACCGAGGCUAGAUGCCCACCCGGACCCUCCCCUAUUGAGUCAGGUUUUGCG